CAACAAAGCCGUCGGGAAAGAAGAAAGACGUCCAGGUGCGAGAGUGUAACCUGAUACCAAUGUCAAUCUCACCUUUAAUAUCGAAUCCAAAGGGUAUAUAUUCAGAGAUAUUGAGUUUGAGUUGUUGAUAUCUUAUGUUCUCAUAGGAGGAUUAUAUUGCAAAUGGAUUAUAUUACGAGGAUUUCGUUGGGCUGUGGGUUGACAGAGUGGGAAAAAGGUUGACCUUGUGGCAAGAGCAUUUAUUAAAGCAUAUGAAUUGGGUGCUUCAAAGAAAUUUACAAGGAACAAAUUUUUGAUAGAUUAAUUAAGAAGGAAUACCAACAAUGGCUACAAACUAAUUAUAUUAUUAAGUGCGAGGCUAGCACUCUGUGCAAUGAAUAUUGGAAAGAUGACAUUCAAAAACAUGGCCACAUCUUGAUGAUGGAAUGCUAUACAUUCUACGAGUAAAGGCAGUGGAUGUUGAAUAUAUUGGCAAAUACAAAGAUGAGAGGGCCUACUCAUAUUGGAUGAGCGGAUUUGUUGAUAUAAUUCAUGUCGCUAAAUGCCCCAUUGACAAGACCAUGACAUUUUUUUGUAAAUUCAGUAUGUCCAUCACAAAGGAUGACUCACAUAUAAAAGUGUGGAUGUGUGUCCUUGAACAGCUGGAACAGUUGAGCAUGUAAUCAUGUACUUGCAGUCUUCAAUGUAUUAAAUAAAUUAUGCUUACUGCUUACAACAUGUCAACAAGCAAUAUAUUUCCCCUGCCUGUGUGCCUGUAUCAGUGUUCCCCAAGGAUAGAACAAAGAAACUUGAAAAGAAGUAAAUCCAAGCAUGCAAGGUUAAAAAUUUAAUAUUUAGACCAAAACUCUGGCUGCAAUUAAACAGUGAGGGAAGAAUUUGACCCCAGAAAACCUGGGGACAGAAAUAUUACCAAUGAAAGAGUUUCUUUAUUAUUUAUUGACUUAGUUUUAAUUUUUCUCCCCUAUGUACAGUUCCAUAGACAAUAUUUACAUAUUUUUCCUUAUAUUAAUUUUGGCUAAAGACCUAUUAGUUACUUUGUUAGGCUUUUUGUUUAGGCCCCUAGUAAAGGUUUAUAGUUAACUGUUAGAUUUAUAAUAUUUUAUUUUAUUUUACAGUCAAAUCAGAGAGAGCAUUUUCAGAGUAAUAGAGGAACAAUAAUAUGCAAAUAGAAUAAUAUGCAAAUAGAAUGUUUUCAUAAAAAAAUGCUGCUGAAUUUGUUUUUUGAAGAUGUAUUGAGAGUUUAUGUCUUUAUUUUUUAUUCUAGUGAGUUCAAUACAUCAACUCCAUUAUUAGAGAGAAUAUGUUUUACAUAAUUUGUUCUUUUAUACCACUUGUGAAGUUUU
Paramuricea clavata is the source of this 1343-nucleotide non-coding RNA. NCBI's taxonomy places the organism in Eukaryota, Metazoa, Cnidaria, Anthozoa, Malacalcyonacea, Plexauridae. The record is from the annotation of a GenBank genome assembly.